This 3332-nucleotide long non-coding RNA is filed under the name Panax ginseng (ginseng). Its description in RNAcentral is "long non-coding RNA (PGIN_LNC017809)". The stretch from base 2981 to 3100 matches the Rfam family "MIR6135 microRNA precursor family". Lineage: Eukaryota; Viridiplantae; Streptophyta; Magnoliopsida; Apiales; Araliaceae. The record is from RNAcentral.
UUGCCGCCGCCCGCCUUCUUCCUAAAGUUCUAGCCUAGAGUAGAGAUUUUACAAGAAAAUCAAAGCACAUCCUAAAGUUCUCUUACAUUUUCUGUCUCCACCCGCCCCUUCUCCUCUCCCAAAUAAAUUUCAAAACUUCUUUCCGGUUAGAGCAAGAAAGAGGAAAGCUUAGUGAUUUGUGUGGUGUGGCUGGAACUGGCAUUUAAGGGAUAACAAGAGCUUAUAAACAAGCAGGCAUAAGGUAUUUUAACUUGCCUUGAUUAUAUUUUAUCAUAGAAUGUGAGUAUUUGAUCAAGGUUAGUUUACUUAUGCAUGGUGGCAAUUUAUUAGUUUAAGAGAAUUUGGUAAUAUAAAAUAGUGUUAGCAGUGGAUGAGAAUUAAGCAUAACAACAGAAAAUUUAUAUGUUAUGUAGGUAUGUAAAUAGAGAUUCUUAAGGUUAACUGCUAUGAAUGAUUAUUGAUAUGCUAUUUGACUGCUAUGGACUGAGAUUAAGCACAAGGAGAUAGGUUGGGCUGUGGAGUAAUAAGGAUGUUAUUAUGGGUUUAUGAUGUAAAUGAAUGGCUGUGAGAUUGGUAACACAAAACUAUGCACACUACAUGUUUGUUAAAAGUCCCAAGUGGACUGUUUUGGCUAAAACUUGAUAAAUAGAUGGGAUCAAGGCUUGGGAUAAAUAAGUACACUAUAUAUAAGGUUAGGAGAGGUGUUUUGACAUGCUAAAUGGAAGUGAAGAGCAAAUUUUAGCGAAAACCAAUUGUUAAAAAAAAAAUUAACAUGUCAAGCACUGUUUUGGGGCAGUCUAUUAAGACAACCAUGAUUAUGUUAUAAGUUCUAAAAGUACUUUUAUGUGUUAAGUGUAAUAUAUCUAAAUUUGUGUACAACCAAGCUUUUGUUUUAAAGGUUUUAUAAUUUCUAGAACUACUCCCUUGUGUUAUAUUCUAUGUACUUAAACAGGGAGAUAAACCAUCAUGUGGUUAGAAAAAUGAGAUAGGAAAUAAUAGUCAUGUUAGGCUAAAGGUUGCUGUCUAUAGCAGUAGCAAUUGUAGUGGAUAAGGCUGGGACUCUCUUUUGAGUUCCCAGUCAACUUGAUUAAGACAUUUGUACAACUUGAUUUGUACUUUGUUAAAUUUAGAGGUGUGCAAAUUGCCUUGUCUCCAAAAAUUGUAGUAUAUUAAGAGUAAAUCAGUUAUAACUUGGAAAUAGGAUGGGGGGGCAGGGCUGCUGCCUAAUGGCAGCAGCAGGAACCAUCUUGGGAGCAAGAUCUAGGGAUUUCCUUGGCUUAAUGAUCAACCUACUUAUGUUUAUUAGAUUAUUUUAUUAAUGUGUCUGAAUGCUAUAUAAACAAAUUAAUGGUAUAUGCAUGAAUGGUUGGUCAAAGCAUAGGAUAAGCAAUAGGGGCUGCUGCAGUGGACAAUAGCAAACAGCAACUGCUGCCUUUCGACACUAAUAAGUUGCAGCAUUAUAAUUUGAUUGAUAGAUUGAUUCGUCUUGUUUUGACUCUAGCUGUUUCCACUGCCACGACAGAACGAGCAUUUUCAGCUAUGAAACAUGUUAAAACUGCUCUUCGCAAUAAAAUGGGAGAAGAGUUUUUAGCAGAUGCUAUGAUGAUUUAUAUUGAACGAGAGCUUGUUGAAAAUAUCGAUUCAUAUUCCAUAAUGGACGAAUUUUAUUCUACAAAGCAUAGAAGAAUGCAGCUUAAAUAGUGUGUUUUGUUUCCCUUUUUUCUUACAUUUUAUGUACCUUUGAACUUUACUACUAUGUAUGAUUUUGAAUUUAUGAUUGAUUUUGGUGGGACAAUUUCUGAUGUAUAUGGUUGGUACUUAGUAGCCCAGGAGGAAAAAAAAUCCUAGCUCUGCCCUUGUGUUCAGGUUGAUUACCAAAUUGCGAAAUUAAAUAUUAAUUCUAUCUUGAGUUUGUAACAGAAAUGGUCCAUCUGCAGAUAGCUGACUUUCAGUUAAUUUGUUUCCCAUACUUGUGUUUUCUAAGACUUGAGUGCAAUUAGUAAUUUUCUUUUGGAAGGGCAGUGGUCUUGACUACCAAGGCUCGAGGGGUUUCUUACCGACUGACAUGUCUUGACUGUGUCAUCCUCAUCUCCAAAGCAUGUUAUUUCUUCACUUUAUUUGGGGAUUGUAUUGCAGUUGUAGCUUCUUUUUCUGAAAAGGAUUCUGCUACAUUUUCAAUAGCAUUUUCCUUCGUACCCAAAUUUGGUCAUAACGGCGGAAUGUCUCCACUCCACAAUGCUAUAUAUCUGAAUCUUGAUGAAAUAAUUACAGUUGCUAUAUUACAUUUCUGAAAAUUGAAUAACUACAUAUGCUAUUGACCCAAGCAUCUGAUAAAUAUCAUUUUUUUUCUUCUGUAUGUUUAAUUUUUUAUGUAUUUGCAGAAACUUGAGUGGAAACAAUAUCCAUGGAACCAUUCUUUCUUCAGUUGGAACAGUUACCAGCCUAUAAAUACUGUGAGUAAAAUAUUACAUUGAUUUAUAAUGUAAUUGUUUUAAAUUUUCCUUUUUCCAAUUGUGAACAGUAUACUCAUUAGUUCUGUCAUUUUACAUCUAGCUGGGAUAAUAUAUAUUUCAAGUUAAAUAGGGAUUUCACUGGAAUAAAGAGAAAUUUAUGCAAAAAAAUUAGAAUAAACACAUAAACUAAUGUACAAUUGUUGAUUAUUGGCUCAAGUUACGGUGCUGCAUGUUUUCAUUGGUUCAACUGUGUUAAAUAUUGAUAUUUUGUAGAAUAUGAAUGCUUGAUAGUCGGAGGGAGUGAAGUUCCGUACCACCUGCAAUAAUAUGUUAAAGAAAUAUAAGAAUCUUAAUUGGAUUAGUAAAACCUCUAAACUCCUAUGCUUGAUUUUUGUGCCCUUCUUUUUUUAUUUCCAAUAGUCACACUUGAUAUAUAUAUAUACAUACAACUUUUUGGCUAAAUGUAAUGUCUGAAGCUGUAAUUGUACUGCAGAGACCUACCAUAUAAUUUUCAGGAUCCGGUUAACAUGAAAUUUAUUUUUUAGUAAGUUGGUCAAUUGACCAAUAGAAUGCACACACAUAGAACCUCGCCUGCGUGUCAGCACUCUAUUGGCCAAUUGACCAACUUACCCAAAAAUAAACUUCAUGCUAAUCACUUCCCAAUUUUCAACGGAUCAAUUCCUGAAAGCCUUGGACAGCUGUCAUCAAUACAAAGAUUGUAAGAUCUGUCAAGCAUCUUAUUAGCAUAAAAAAUGUGAAUAUUGCAACAUGGAACACUAAUUUAUGUUAUUGUGGUUCAGGAAUCUCAAUAGCAACUCCCUCUUGGAAGAGUCCCAGCUGCACCAGGAGGAAGGCUUUUGCACAGAGGAAGCUUGAAGU